GAAAACAAUGCAGCGUUACCUUGUAAAGUGCCUUUCCCUACAACUCAGCAGUAUCACUCCUUAAGACAGACCCUAGAGAAACCCUUGUCCUUCUGUACCAGGAGACGUCUGUGCAAAACUGACAGUCAUGACAUGGCCAGACCUCAUGCACACAAUGUUCAAUGAGGAAAGAAGUCGCCCCAGAGUAUGUGCAAGGUGAUUCCAUUCGUGUAAAGUCUGGAGGCUCAUAAUCACAUUGGAAAUUGUCCUUUUGAAGGGUACAUAUAUACGCAUUUAAAAAAUAAAAGCAAGGGAAUUAUAAACACAAAGUUCUCAAAACUGGGUUAUCUUAAAGGGAGUGGAGGGAGAUGCAAACUUCGAGGGGCAAUGGGGACUUCAAAGCAUGGGCCAUGUUCUAUUUCUCAAAGGGAUUACCGCACACAUGGCAUUUAGCUAAUGAAUUGUAGUUUAAAAUUGCAGUAUAAUUGACUUACAGUGUUGUAUUAAUUUCAGAUGUACAACGUAGUGAUUCUGUUGCAGGAAAAAUGGGAUACAAGAGGAUAGUCACGUAUGAGGUCUUGAGUGAGUCCUUGGGACAGACGACCAAGUGAGGGUCCUUGGCUUUGGGCAGGAAAGAAUUCUAGAAUGAACCAUAGUAAAGUGAAAGCAGGUUUAUUUAGAGAGCUACACACUCCAUAGACAGAGUGUGGGCCAUCUCAGAGGGUGAGAGCCGGCCCUGCGAUAUGGAGUGGUUAGUUUUUAUGGGCUGGGCUAACGAAUGGGAGGAAUAUUCUAACUGUCUUGGAGAAGGGGCAGGGGUUUCUAGGAAUUGGGGCACCCCUACUUUUUGGCCUUUUAUGGCUAGCCUUGAAACUGUCAUAGUGCCUGUCAUAGUGUCAUUUAGUUAAUGCAUUACAAUAAGGGUAUAAUGAGGCUCAAGGUCUAGGGAAGUCUAAUGUUCUGCCAUGUUGCGCCUAGUAGGUUCUAACCAGUUUUUGUCGCAUCCCGUUCUUAAUGGUUGUGUCAUUCUUUCAAUAGUUGUGUCCUUCCGCCUUCCUUCCUGUCUCAAUUCGAUAUUUUUAUACAUUACAAAAUGAUCAGGGCUUCCCUGGUGGCGCAGUGGUUGAGAGUCCGCCUGCCGAUGCAGGGGACGAGGGUUCGUGCCCCGGUCCGGGAGGAUCCCACAUGCCGCGGAGCGGCUGGGCGCGUGAGCCAUGGCCGCUGAGCCUGCGCGUCCGGAGCCUGUGCUCCGCAACGGGAGAGGCCACAACAGUGAGAGGCCCACGUAACGC
RNAcentral lists this long non-coding RNA (1271 nucleotides) under Phocoena sinus (vaquita). RNAcentral's name for it is "lncRNA (ENSPSNG00000010756.1)". The record is from RNAcentral. Lineage: Eukaryota; Metazoa; Chordata; Mammalia; Artiodactyla; Phocoenidae.